Molecule: long non-coding RNA, 2159 nt
Organism: Sebastes umbrosus (honeycomb rockfish)
Lineage: Eukaryota; Metazoa; Chordata; Actinopteri; Perciformes; Sebastidae
Exons: 3
Source: RefSeq, a predicted model, not a curated record
AUGAGUUUAGGUCUGUCCUUCCUGGGCUUCUGUUGAAACAUGGCGGUGCAACUUGGCGGACUUGGAGAGAGGAUCUGCUCCCUAUGUAGAUAUAAACGUCUCAUUCUAAGAUAUGCAACGCUCUGCCAGGAAAAACAAUGUGGGGAAGACUCCUGACUCCUUGUUGAGCUACCCGAUGGAGUGAGUCAGGAACAACCUGUAUGAGCCCAGUGGGAGAGCCCUUCAGGUACGUUGAGAUGAAGUUCCCACGUUCACUAGGGUUCAGUUCCCUCUCUAAGGCCACCGCAGUGAGGGACUGGAGCAUCCACGGCCUGCCCUCUAACACAUUCUCAGCUGAGUCACCGGUCUGUACAUCUAAGUUGUCAUUAAAGGUCUAUUGACUGAGAUUAGCUGAAGUCCAGUGAGCACACUAAAGCAAAGACACUUUGAAAAUUAAGCAAACAAGAGCGUCCACUGUUGCACUCUGGGUGACUUUGGCCUUCCUGCAUUUGUUGUUAACAGUUUAACUUAACACAGUUAUUGAAGUACACAGCAAAUUAAACGAAGCAAACAGAGGAACAGCUUCACAACUGUAGGCAUCAGAGUCCUCGAAAUAUGCCCUUAUAUUCUGUCCUUGUGAGCGGCAGCAAGUAGGAGAAGUGAACAAAACGUUUUAAGCUUUUAUCAUGUAGCUUAAACAGUUUUCCUCUGGGCACAGUGUAUUUCUGUGCACUUUAUUUCUAUAGUAUACUUUAUCAAGUGCUAUAUACAAACAUAAGUUGCCUUGAUCAAGUUAUAUAGUGUUUUCCUCUUUUGAGAUGGCAGCUGAUGGUGGACCUUCAAGGCCAAGCUCUGUAGUGCAUCAACAAUAUGGAGCUAAAAACAGUAAGUGUUGGCUCAGCCAGUCUGCUAAUUAGGCCCAUGUAGACAUUCAUGUUCUGUCUUUACUGCUGCUAAGUUAAAUUUCUGGAGCAAAAAAAGUGCAUGCAGGGAAGUCGUAGUAUUGAGGACAUGGACUACAAUCUGUUAGUGUAUUUAUAGCAACCACAUUUUUGUAUUUUACACAUAGACUGCAUAUAAGAAGUGGACAUAGUCACCGUGACGUCGUUCAUUGCUUUUGUGUAAAGUUGUAAAGCCUUUAUUAUUGUGCCUACUUGAUUUAAAAUGUUCUUGUGGACAGCGUUUGCUUCGUGUUACAUUCCAGUCCGACCCAAGCAGCGCUUCCUUCCUUGUUUUUCCUGACAUGUACAACUGAAUCUGUGUCCUCUAGGACAAAUCAAUGUCUGUUUGCCUCUGGCUGCACAUUUCCAUCGACUUCCUAUGCACAUCUUGCCAGCUUUAAAUGUUGCUUUGCAUUGUAUGAUGCUGCUGAAGGGUAUGUGCUCCAUUUGUUAUUUAGCAACGCAGAACAGUUUUUUCACCAGUGUGAGGGGGCAACAAAUAGAAAGCUUGGAGCAGUUGAGGGUUUUAAUCCGUUGACAUAAUCAGGGGGACACCACCCGACCUCCGUUUACCACUUACGGCAAUCCCCAAUGUUGCUUCUGCCGCUGCUUAUACCUCCCAUGUUCUUUCACCACUCUCUCUCUCUGUCUCUCUCCGUAAAGCAGUUUAGCCUCAAACAUUAACAGGUUGAGGAAAGUAAUCUACGUGUUGAAAACAUGUUGACGAACACGAGAACAUGAGCCCGCGGACAGACAUUUAUAAUGGAGACCAGAUUGUCUUGAGCUGUUAUCAACCGAGGCAUUGCAGUGAAAUGCAUUAUGGUCAUAUUUAAGGACAGCUCUUGUUAUUUGAAGGGAUUUACUUUGACUGGAUAUCAGAUAAGCCAUCAGUAGUGGAAAGCCAGAGAAAGCUACAAAGAAAGUUUACAGAGGCUAAUAUGGCCUUCCUGUUUUCCAAAACUACUGUGACUUCUGUUUUCCCUCUCUCUCUCUCUCUCUCUCUCUCUCUCUCUCUCUGAACUCUUUCUUAAACUUAACUUUUUGUGUGUGUGCGUGCGUACAAUCUGCCACAUGCCUCUAAUUUACGCUCAAGUGGCAUUCAUCAUUCAGCACACCAGGUAAGUGGUAAUUUGGUGCAUCUGGAGUUGACUUCUCAUAAUUUUCUCUUAACAGAAAAUGUUGCUGCGUGAGGCCCGUUGUGUCAUUAAGUGACUCUGACGUUCUGUGUAUUCCUUUAGG